AUACGUAGGGGGCGAGCGUUGUCCGGAAUGAUUGGGCGUAAAGGGCGCGUAGGCGGCGCGGUAAGUCUGGAGUGAAAGUCCUGCUUUCAAGGUGGGAAUUGCUUUGGAUACUGCCGCGCUUGAGUGCAGGAGAGGUUAUCGGAAUUCCCGGUGUAGCGGUGAAAUGCGUAGAGAUCGGGAGGAACACCAGUGGCGAAGGCGGGUAACUGGACUGCAACUGACGCUGAGGCGCGAAAGUGUGGGGAGCAAACAGGAUUAGAUACCCUUGUAGUCCACACUGUAAACGAUGAAUGCUAGGUGUAGGGGGUAUCGACCCCUUCUGUGCCGCAGUCAACACAAUAAGCAUUCCGCCUGGGGAGUUCGGCCGCAAGGUUGAAACUCAAAGGAAUUGACGGGG
Molecule: ribosomal RNA, 397 nt
Filed under: uncultured bacterium
Lineage: Bacteria
Description: partial 16S ribosomal RNA
Rfam family: Bacterial small subunit ribosomal RNA
Source: RNAcentral